RNAcentral lists this ribosomal RNA (253 nucleotides) under uncultured bacterium. RNAcentral describes it as "partial 16S ribosomal RNA". It matches the Rfam family "Bacterial small subunit ribosomal RNA", at positions 524 to 776 of the family's 1533-position model. The record is from RNAcentral.
UACGAAGGGGGCUAGCGUUGCUCGGAAUUACUGGGCGUAAAGGGCGCGUAGGCGGACAGUUUAGUCAGAGGUGAAAGCCCAGGGCUCAACCUUGGAAUUGCCUUUGAUACUGGCUGUCUUGAGUUCGGGAGAGGUGAGUGGAAUUCCGAGUGUAGAGGUGAAAUUCGUAGAUAUUCGGCGGAACACCAGUGGCGAAGGCGACUCACUGGCCCGAUACUGACGCUGAGGCGCGAAAGCGUGGGGAGCAAACAGG